CAUAUCAUCUUGUGCGGGUAGAAGAACUUCGCAAUCCGAUAAUCGUGGAAUCUCGAGGUUCACUAUUGAGCCAUACAAGUAUCCAAUCUCUAUAGAUAUUCAUUUAGACUCAGAUUAGGAUGCUCUCUCUAUCUUCAAUCCAUCUACUCCUAGAUAGAUCUGCAAGCUUCUGAUCUCUGGUAAGAUUUCAAUCGAUACUUGAUCAUAGCCUCCUUAUUCCUUCACUCA
Molecule: long non-coding RNA, 228 nt
Filed under: Elaeis guineensis (African oil palm)
Lineage: Eukaryota; Viridiplantae; Streptophyta; Magnoliopsida; Arecales; Arecaceae
Description: long non-coding RNA (EGUI_LNC043763)
Source: RNAcentral